GAUGAAGAACGUAGCGAAAUGCGAUAAGUAAUGUGAAUUGCAGAAUUCAGUGAAUCAUCGAAUCUUUGAACGCACAUUGCGCCCCUUGGUAUUCCGAGGGGCAUGCCUGUUCGAGCGUCAUUAUAACCCCUCAAGCUCAGCUUGGUGUUGGGGCCUGCUGCACUGGCAGCCCUUAAAAUCAGUGGCGGCGCCAUCUGGCUCUAAGCGUAGUAAUUCUUCUCGCUAUGGAGUCCUGGUGGAUGCUUGCCAUCAACCCCCAAUUUUUCUAUGGUUGACCUCGGAUCAGGUAGGAAUACCCGCUGAACUUAAGCAUAUCAAUAAGCGGAGG
RNAcentral lists this unclassified non-coding RNA (328 nucleotides) under soil metagenome. RNAcentral describes it as "partial contains 5.8S ribosomal RNA, internal transcribed spacer 2, and large subunit ribosomal RNA". The stretch from base 1 to 120 matches the Rfam family "5.8S ribosomal RNA", at positions 35 to 154 of the family's 154-position model. The record is from RNAcentral.